This is a long non-coding RNA of Helianthus annuus (common sunflower), 1791 nucleotides long. RefSeq lists it as uncharacterized. The record is from RefSeq and is a predicted model, not a curated record. NCBI's taxonomy places the organism in Eukaryota, Viridiplantae, Streptophyta, Magnoliopsida, Asterales, Asteraceae. The transcript has 6 exons.
UGCUUUCUUGGUGGUUUCUUUGGCUAGGAUUUUCUUCUCUCCACGUUCAUCCACAAAACUAGGGCAGAUGGUUAUCAACUGAACUAUUUUAAGAGUGCCAUCAAGGAGUUUACGUACUCUCUAAAAAAGUGAGGCGGUUUAAAGAGGUUACCUAAUUUAUCUCCUAAAAUCAUGGUAAAAACCACCCAUUAUCUACAAAUCUGCUUCCUUAUAACCCACUUUGCAAUCCCCUCCUGAACGCACCAUCCUUUCAUCUCUACAGCGCCAAAUAUACGAGAUGGGCACUUUCAAAAACGAAGAUUGAUGUAACUCUGAAGUUGCACAUUAAUAAUUGAACCCUACAUUAAUGGAACAGCCAUUGCCCUCGCUUUUGAUUUGUUUUGUUUCACAAGACCAGAAUAUCUCGAAACUUUUUCAGCAAUUUAUUUGUGUAUAGAGUUUCUUGUAGGUGAGGGUUGAUCAUAUGGCUAUUGCUUUGUUAAGGACUUACAAAUCACCAAUUGUUAACACUGUACAAUUUCUUAUACUCUCGCUUAGUGGAGUCUGGAAAGUGACUCGCAUGAAGAAAAGGAAAGAACCUGAUUCUGACAUAAUUAGGUGUUUGCUAAUUGCCUAAUUAUGUGCUUGAUAGUUAAGGUGAGCGAUUUAGCAACUUGGACUGUAAUCGAUGUUGGAACCGGCAAUGGAUGGAUACUACAGCUCAUUACUGUUGUUCAUCGCUAAAGCAGUGGAAUAAACAUUCAUCACUCUAAGUGCUCGCCACAUCAUCAUGUUGGCGCCAACUAGUAAGGUUUUGGUUAGAAAGUCAAUUGUUGACCAUGUUUGAUUGACCAACAAUAGGAUUAUGUACCUUGCCAUGAAAGAUUGCUUCAGAGUUGAGAGUUGAGCUGGAAAUGAAGCAACAAGUUGGAUACAUUGAUUAUGAUACUUGUAGGUGGUGGAUCAAAUAUAAUAUGGGUUUUUUUUUUCUUUUUCCUUUUUAGAUGAAGGAAUUUGUGGAAGUGAAAAAGGUGCUAACUUUGAAAGGGGUCAUAGCUUAAUUAUGUGUAUGAUAUAUUGAGGAGAAAAAUAUAUAGCCUGCAGAAGGAUCUACAAGAUUUGCAGUACACUAUUGAUGUACUGCAACAAGGUAUUUAUAAAUUUAUACUUUUGGUAAACAUGAAAAUUUGACUUUUGACUUGCUAUUCGUUGACUGAUUGAUCUACUGGUUUGACUUUUAGAAAAGUUAUUAAGAAGAUUAAUUAUUUCCCUUAGUUUUUAUGUUUCUCUUUGCCUAGCGAGUAAUCUUAUGCAAUUUGUGGAAAUCUCCUGCAAUUGUUGGCAUUAAAAAAAGUCCAACCACUAAAAGGAAGCAUCAACAUCUACAGCUGAUCUUGUGAAAAUACAAGACAAAAUGGAAAUUAUCAAAAAGGAUAUCAUUUAGCCAAAACAGUGAUAUAGAGACAGGGGCAUAGCUUUGUUGUGGCCCGGGGUGCCCCUGCUCUCGCUGAUUUUUUGCUCAUAGGCGUGCGUCUCGGUUACUCUUUUUAAAGUGAGCCUUGUGCGCUUUUGACUACUAUGUAUCACAUAGUGAUUCUUUAUGGUAGUUAUGCUGAUGAUUAGACUUGCAGAUGAGAUGAAGUGCCUGAGGAAAAAAGUUGUCUUAAAUUGGAGGAUUGUGAAGAAAAAAUCAAUAUGGUUACAGUUGCAUCAAAUGAGCUUAUUCUCUUCUAUGAUGAGUUUGUUAUGCAUAUGGAUAUUGCACUUAUAUGACAGAAAUGAAAUUGGUGUGUGGUGUUUUUAGUUGACUCA